CAGCCCUUCUCCCAGUCUCUGCCUCUGAGUGGGAGGGUAGUGCCCCUUCACAGGGAAGGGCUUUAGUGCUUAGGAAGAGCUCCCCUCUGCCAGUUGGCUGUUUAUCUCCCACUCGCCUUUUGGCUUGUUGUCCCUCGUUUUCUGCACUGCUGUCUUUUGAGUCCUUCUUUCGGAGGUUUUUAAGGAGAAAUCUAAUGCUUAUCUUGUGGAAGAAGUUAUAAUGUGGAGAUCCAUGAGCAGCCCCCAGGCCUUGAAGGACGUGGACUUCCUGAUAACAGGGGAUCAGCCAGGCAAGCUUAACCAGCUUUAUGAGGGAGCCAGACAGCACAUCCAAGCUGCAGUGUGCUGGACGAGCCUGGCCCAGUCGCCUCCAUCUGGCACAGAGGACAAGAGUCCAGUGUCUCGGGCUUCUCUGACACCCGGAGCCACCUGGAGUCCUGAAGGGCCCGGGACACCUCCCUCUGCCUGCCCCAGAGGAGGAAGCUGCAGUGAGUCACCCCGAAGCCCUUUGUCUAGAGGAGCCAGAGGGGAAAGGAGAGGGGAAGCUUCCUCCGAAGCCUGAGGGCGGAGAGGUGGGUGUGCUGCCCGCCCCCCUCAAGGCUAUUGUGGGCAUCAGGAACUGAGAUCCAGUGGGAAGACGGAGGAGGAGGGGGAGGGAGGAGCAGCUCACCUGACUUGUAUUCCACCAUCCAAACUGCAUGGUUCAGGCCAAGGCACUCAUCUCCAAGC
RNAcentral lists this long non-coding RNA (729 nucleotides) under Heterocephalus glaber (naked mole-rat). RNAcentral describes it as "lncRNA (ENSHGLG00100052531.1)". Lineage: Eukaryota; Metazoa; Chordata; Mammalia; Rodentia; Bathyergidae. The record is from RNAcentral.